AUUGAACGCUGGCGGCAGGCCUAACACAUGCAAGUCGAACGGUAACAGAAAGCAGCUUGCUGCUUUGCUGAGGAGUGGCGGACGGGUGAGUAAUGUCUGGGAAACUGCCUGAUGGAGGGGGAUAACUACUGGAAACGGUAGCUAAUACCGCAUAACGUCGCAAGACCAAAGAGGGGGACCUUCGGGCCUCUUGCCAUCGGAUGUGCCCAGAUGGGAUUAGCUUGUUGGUGGGGUAACGGCUCACCAAGGCGACGAUCCCUAGCUGGUCUGAGAGGAUGACCAGCCACACUGGAACUGAGACACGGUCCAGACUCCUACGGGAGGCAGCAGUGGGGAAUAUUGCACAAUGGGCGCAAGCCUGAUGCAGCCAUGCCGCGUGUAUGAAGAAGGCCUUCGGGUUGUAAAGUACUUUCAGCGGGGAGGAAGGGAGUAAAGUUAAUACCUUUGCUCAUUGACGUUACCCGCAGAAGAAGCACCGGCUAACUCCGUG
This 490-nucleotide ribosomal RNA is filed under the name uncultured bacterium. RNAcentral describes it as "partial 16S ribosomal RNA". It matches the Rfam family "Bacterial small subunit ribosomal RNA", at positions 30 to 507 of the family's 1533-position model. The record is from RNAcentral.